AUCUUUUGAGUAUGAACUAGUACAGUUACCUUCCAAGUAAAAGGAUUAAAUAAUUUUAAAAAAGAUA
RNAcentral lists this transfer RNA (67 nucleotides) under Sydaphera spengleriana. RNAcentral describes it as "tRNA-Gly". Lineage: Eukaryota; Metazoa; Mollusca; Gastropoda; Neogastropoda; Cancellariidae. The record is from RNAcentral.